Molecule: long non-coding RNA, 287 nt
Organism: Juglans microcarpa x Juglans regia
Lineage: Eukaryota; Viridiplantae; Streptophyta; Magnoliopsida; Fagales; Juglandaceae
Exons: 2
Source: RefSeq, a predicted model, not a curated record
AUAAAAAAUAUUGAAGUUGUGCCAAAUGUGUAGAUGAUAACAAGAAGUUACAGUUGUUGGAUAGGCAUGAAUUUGGUGCUGGGGUAGGAGUUGCAAUUGUUGGGUUCUACCCAACUUUGGUUUGGUAUCUUUGGGGUUUGGGCAAUUCUAAGAUGUACUCUAAUAUUGACAUGUAAUGGAUGGACAUUUUUAUGUUAUGAGUAUUUUUAUGUUUUGGGCAUUUCUUGUUGUAAAUUUGUAAAUAUUUUGCUUUUGAGAAUGAAUGGACAGUUUCAGAUUUGUGUAUA